RNAcentral lists this ribosomal RNA (449 nucleotides) under uncultured bacterium. Its description in RNAcentral is "SSU rRNA". It matches the Rfam family "Bacterial small subunit ribosomal RNA", at positions 26 to 518 of the family's 1533-position model. The record is from RNAcentral.
AGAGCGAACGCUGGCGGCAGGCUUAACACAUGCAAGUCGAGCGCCCCGCAAGGGGAGCGGCAGACGGGUGAGUAACGCGUGGGAACGUACCUUUUGGUUCGGAACAACACAGGGAAACUUGUGCUAAUACCGGAUAAGCCCUUACGGGGAAAGAUUUAUCGCCGAAAGAUCGGCCCGCGUCUGAUUAGCUAGUUGGUGAGGUAACGGCUCACCAAGGCGACGAUCAGUAGCUGGUCUGAGAGGAUGAUCAGCCACAUUGGGACUGAGACACGGCCCAAACUCCUACGGGAGGCAGCAGUGGGGAAUAUUGCACAAUGGGCGAAAGCCUGAUGCAGCGACGCCGCGUGAGGGAUGACGGCCUUCGGGUUGUAAACCUCUUUCAGCAGGGACGAAGCGCAAGUGACGGUACCUGCAGAAGAAGCACCGGCCAACUACGUGCCAGCAGCCGC